RNAcentral lists this ribosomal RNA (497 nucleotides) under uncultured bacterium. RNAcentral's name for it is "partial 16S ribosomal RNA". It matches the Rfam family "Bacterial small subunit ribosomal RNA", at positions 28 to 507 of the family's 1533-position model. The record is from RNAcentral.
GAUGAACGCUGGCGGCGUGCCUAAUACAUGCAAGUCGAGCGAACGGACGAGAAGCUUGCUUCUCUGAUAUUAGCGGCGGACGGGUGAGUAACACGUGGAUAACCUACCUAUAAGACUGGGAUAACUUCGGGAAACCGUAGCUAAUACCGGAUAAUAUUUUGAACCGCAUGGUUCAAAAGUGAAAGACGGUCUUGCUGUCACUUAUAGAUGGAUCCGCGCUGCAUUAGCUAGUUGGUAAGGUAACGGCUUACCAAGGCAACGAUGCAUAGCCGACCUGAGAGGGUGAUCGGCCACACUGGAACUGAGACACGGUCCAGACUCCUACGGGAGGCAGCAGUAGGGAAUCUUCCGCAAUGGGCGAAAGCCUGACGGAGCAACGCCGCGUGAGUGAUGAAGGUCUUCGGAUCGUAAAACUCUGUUAUUAGGGAAGAACAUAUGUGUAAGUAACUGUGCACAUCUUGACGGUACCUAAUCAGAAAGCCACGGCUAACUACGUG